GUCACUGGCUAUGCGCCUCAUGGCCUGAAACAUGGUGGGUGCACCAGCUCCCUGAAUUGAACCUGAACCCACCUCUUCAUUAUCAAAUAACGCAACCAUUCGAACUGCCUGCUCACUUUUUAAGUCACUACGAGAUUCACAAGAAUCAAUAAGAGCUCUUAAUGCACAAUAGCUUGACGCAAGGUUGUCUAGUCUUCCUGAG
RNAcentral lists this unclassified non-coding RNA (202 nucleotides) under Hevea brasiliensis (rubber tree). The record is from RNAcentral. Lineage: Eukaryota; Viridiplantae; Streptophyta; Magnoliopsida; Malpighiales; Euphorbiaceae.